UGGGGAAUAUUGCACAAUGGGCGCAAGCCUGAUGCAGCAACGCCGCGUGAGGGAUGACUGCCUUCGGGUUGUAAACCUCUUUUAGUAGGGAAGAAGCGAAAGUGACGGUACCUGCAGAAAAAGCACCGGCUAACUACGUGCCAGCAGCCGCGGUAAUACGUAGGGUGCAAGCGUUGUCCGGAAUUAUUGGGCGUAAAGAGCUCGUAGGCGGCUUGUCGCGUCUGCUGUGAAAUCCCGGGGCUCAACUCCGGGUCUGCAGUGGGUACGGGCAGGCUAGAGUGCGGUAGGGGAGAUUGGAACUCCUGGUGUAGCGGUGGAAUGCGCAGAUAUCAGGAAGAACACCGAUGGCGAAGGCAGAUCUCUGGGCCGCUACUGACGCUGAGGAGCGAAAGCAUGGGGAGCGAACAGG
Molecule: ribosomal RNA, 409 nt
Filed under: uncultured bacterium
Lineage: Bacteria
Description: bacterial SSU rRNA
Rfam family: Bacterial small subunit ribosomal RNA
Source: RNAcentral